CGAUCGAUGGUGGGAUCAAGCAUCUACUUUGGCACCGGCGUCCAAGUAAGGAUUUUAAGUUUUUUCUAGUAGGAUUUGGGGUCGAUCCACGGCUUUUCAUCUCUUUGUCUGAACAAAAAAAUCGAUUUGGGCACUGUUAGUAUUCAACUUCUUCCUCAGGGAGCAUCCGCAUUGGUGAUACAUUUUCCCUUGUCAAGGUCUUCGUGACAUUCGCCUCAGUCCCAGACACACCCCUUAUUUUUCCGACCAUUUAUGGGGCAACUACCGUUCGCGACGUUGUCGGUGAAGAUCCUAUUGAUUGGAACUACAAGGAUCUCAUGCGGCACCCCUGAAGCAUAUCAACCGAUUCCUUAAUGUUUUACCCCCGUUUGCCUUAUGGAUUGGAUGCCGACGGCUAUGUGAAAUACCUAUGGAAUAGAUGCAUAGACAUUUGGAAUUAUAUUUUGUGUGGUGAGAAUUGUGCUAUGGAUUGAUGGAUUUCCCCACUUGCUUAUUACUAGGUUGGAUGUUUAAAAUGCUUGCGUUUUGUGGAACAUAAUUCCGUAGUGAAGAUGUUGCUAGGCUUGUUUGAUGGGUUACUUUAUUUUGUUGUUUGGUGGUGGAC
Molecule: long non-coding RNA, 604 nt
Organism: Andrographis paniculata
Lineage: Eukaryota; Viridiplantae; Streptophyta; Magnoliopsida; Lamiales; Acanthaceae
Exons: 3
Source: RefSeq, a predicted model, not a curated record